Molecule: long non-coding RNA, 437 nt
Filed under: Cricetulus griseus (Chinese hamster)
Lineage: Eukaryota; Metazoa; Chordata; Mammalia; Rodentia; Cricetidae
Description: lncRNA (ENSCGRG00000025144.1)
Source: RNAcentral
ACCGGAAGUGUCGCGUUGCCAUGGCGAGGAUGGGCGCGGGGCCCGCCCCCGUGGAGCCUGGAGCAGCGCUGGGCCCCAGGGUCGGCCGGGCAGGGUCUGGGAAGCGGCUAGGCGGGCUCCAGAUGAGACAGCCGGCAGUUCUCUGUGGUCGUCCCUUAAAUGAUGCUGGGGCCCAGAAAGUAUCUCCAUCUCAGAGGAAGAGGCUCACCUUAGGAGCGAGUAAGUGAAUGAAUGAAAUAGAUAAAGAACAGAGAACUCACCAUUCUAGAUCAGAGACCAACUAGGUGACCACCUGAGUGAUGGUCACUGUGAUGGAUUCCAUAGAUACAGUGGAGGGAUACAUGGCAAGGAUGCUAAUAUUGAGGACACUCUCAGCUGUGAGCCCAGUUCCUUAAGGAUCUGUUCAUUGCCUGGUGAGUGGCUGAGGCUGAACAUGG